UCCUACGGGAGGCAGCAGUGGGGAAUUUUCCGCAAUGGGCGAAAGCCUGACGGAGCGACGCCGCGUGGAGGAUGAAGGAUUUCGGUCUGUAAACUCCUGUCAGGGGGGACGAUGAUGACGGUACCCCCAAAGGAAGCAUCGGCUAACUACGUGC
RNAcentral lists this ribosomal RNA (154 nucleotides) under uncultured bacterium. RNAcentral describes it as "partial 16S ribosomal RNA". It matches the Rfam family "Bacterial small subunit ribosomal RNA", at positions 337 to 508 of the family's 1533-position model. The record is from RNAcentral.